This 770-nucleotide ribosomal RNA is filed under the name uncultured Porphyrobacter sp. Its description in RNAcentral is "bacterial SSU rRNA". It matches the Rfam family "Bacterial small subunit ribosomal RNA", at positions 571 to 1341 of the family's 1533-position model. The record is from RNAcentral. Lineage: Bacteria; Pseudomonadati; Pseudomonadota; Alphaproteobacteria; Sphingomonadales; Erythrobacteraceae.
GUAGGCGGCCUUUUAAGUCAGGGGUGAAAUCCCGGGGCUCAACCCCGGAACUGCCCUUGAAACUGGGAGGCUAGAAUCUUGGAGAGGCGAGUGGAAUUCCGAGUGUAGAGGUGAAAUUCGUAGAUAUUCGGAAGAACACCAGUGGCGAAGGCGACUCGCUGGACAAGUAUUGACGCUGAGGUGCGAAAGCGUGGGGAGCAAACGGGAUUAGAUACCCUGGUAGUCCACGCCGUAAACGAUGAUAACUAGCUGUCCGGGUUCAGGGAACUUGGGUGGCGCAGCUAACGCAUUAAGUUAUCCGCCUGGGGAGUACGGUCGCAAGAUUAAAACUCAAAGGAAUUGACGGGGGCCUGCACAAGCGGUGGAGCAUGUGGUUUAAUUCGAAGCGACGCGCAGAACCUUACCAGCCUUUGACAUCCUAGGACGGCUUCUGGAGACAGAUUCCUUCCCUUCGGGGACCUAGAGACAGGUGCUGCAUGGCUGUCGUCAGCUCGUGUCGUGAGAUGUUGGGUUAAGUCCCGCAACGAGCGCAACCCUCAUCCUUAGUUGCCAUCAUUCAGUUGGGCACUUUAAGGAAACUGCCGGUGAUAAGCCGGAGGAAGGUGGGGAUGACGUCAAGUCCUCAUGGCCCUUACAGGCUGGGCUACACACGUGCUACAAUGGCAACUACAGUGGGCAGCUAUCCCGCGAGGGUGCGCUAAUCUCCAAAAGUUGUCUCAGUUCGGAUUGUUCUCUGCAACUCGAGAGCAUGAAGGCGGAAUCGCUAGUAA